AAUAAACACACCCUCACCGUCUCUUUCAAAAGGACAUUGUACCACCCUCUUCUCUAUAGCCUUUUUUCCUGCAAACUCUUCUCUAUUUCUACUCGAUCAUUUCAUUUGUCCCAUCGUUCUCUUUACUCUAUUCCUCUCCUCUGCGCGUAGCAAAAAAUUAAUCUUUGCUUCUUUUCUCUCCCUCCCAUCAACUUCACAUGCAUUAUCCUCUUAAUUAGCAUUUAAUCAAGAGCUAGAUCAAGGUUUCCCUUUCACUUGCAGAUCAAUCACUUGUUCAUUGGUUACUGCAUUUUAUAUUAGUUGAUCAGAUCGAUUAACUGGUUGCUAUGGAUUUAGAGUUUCAAUAUAAAGAAGUAAGUACUUUCUCUUACACGCUAAUUUUUCUUUAAUUAUAUACUAUGUCAUAUUAUUAUGUUUAUGUGUUCCGAGGUACUAUCAACUUCACGAGUUAUCAUCUCAGUGAAAGUAGUUUGAUUUUGUAACGUUGAUGAACGGAGUUUAAAUCUUUUAUAAAAUGGUUGUAAAAUGAUGCUACAUUAACUAAUAAAAAAAAUAUUGCUAUGUUAUUAUGCUAAUUAAUAUUAAUAUUAUGGAGAUUAAUGUUCUAUAUAUACGUAACAUGCAUCAGGAGUUCUGGAGGAACUCAAGGGGAGUGCAACUUUUCACCUGUAAAUGGUUGCCAUUAUGUUCUCCAAAGGCUCUNN
This 704-nucleotide long non-coding RNA is filed under the name Medicago truncatula (barrel medic). Its description in RNAcentral is "long non-coding RNA (MTRU_LNC006205)". The record is from RNAcentral. Lineage: Eukaryota; Viridiplantae; Streptophyta; Magnoliopsida; Fabales; Fabaceae.